Molecule: long non-coding RNA, 362 nt
Filed under: Chlamydomonas reinhardtii
Lineage: Eukaryota; Viridiplantae; Chlorophyta; Chlorophyceae; Chlamydomonadales; Chlamydomonadaceae
Description: long non-coding RNA (CREI_LNC000409)
Source: RNAcentral
CCCGCCGUACCAAGCACGCCACGCCACGCGCCGCGCUCCCUCCCGUCAAGCCGCUGCUGCCGAGUCCCGGCCGAGUGAUUUACCACUCAAUGCCAGCAGCCUCGGGGUCGGGGAUGUAGUCAUCAUCCGAGUCGUCGGCGGGGAUCAGGUUCUGCUCGCGCAGGAACGCAAAGCCAGCGGUCUGGGCGGCAUCGCGCAUCUUCAGGGGGAACAGGCCCUUCUCGGAGUCGCCCUCAAUCAGGACCUUAAUGACCUCCUCGCCGUCCUCGCGCUUGGCAACCUUGCCGCCAGCAGCAGCGACCAGCUUGUCCAUCCACUCGGUGGCCUUCACAUGGGGGUAAGACUCCUGCAGCUCCUUGGGC